GGGUCAGUAGGUUGGUCGUGCCACCGGUACGUACUGGUCUCACUGAUUCCUCCUUCCCGAAGAACCGUAAUGCCAUUAAUUUGGUGUUGCGGGGAAACAGGACUGUUACUUUGAAAAAAUUAGAGUGUUUAAAGCAAGCUAGCGCUUGAAUACAUUAGCAUGGAAUAAUGAAAUAGGACGAUCGAUCCUAUUUUGUUGGUUUCUAGGAUUGACGUA
RNAcentral lists this ribosomal RNA (216 nucleotides) under Glomeromycotina sp. RNAcentral's name for it is "partial small subunit ribosomal RNA". The stretch from base 75 to 216 matches the Rfam family "Eukaryotic small subunit ribosomal RNA", at positions 721 to 864 of the family's 1831-position model. Lineage: Eukaryota; Fungi; Glomeromycota. The record is from RNAcentral.